CCUUUGUUUACUGUUUUGUUUCUAUUAUUGGCCAACGUGAAAGGCAGGGAUAGAUACGUGCAAUUUCGCAACCAUUUGAGCUUGGCAUCGUUAAUCAUAGAAUACUGAAUAAGCUUUCUGAUAAACAUAAUAGAAUCAAGGGGAAUAUAUACAAGGAAAUAAAAUAAAACAUUAAAGUUUGAGCAAGAUGGAAGAUAAUUUCGUUUGUGCUAUAUGUUUGGAAAUAGCAGAUGCUGCUGUAGAAACUAGCUGCUGUCACCACAUAUUUUGUGAAUCUUGCUUGGAUAGAUUACAAAAUAACGCGUGUCCAACAUGCCGUGCUCGUUAUACCGCCACACCGUCUCCAUUAGCUCGAAGAAUCAUAGGAGGUUUGGAAAUCGGAUGUGUCUAUAAUUGCGGAAUAAAACUAACGAGAUCAGAGAAAAAGAGUCAUGAACUGACGUGCCCAAAGAAAGUCUUUAGUUGUUCAGCUAAAGCUUGUGGAUUUCAAGGAACACGAGAUGACUUUUUGAACCACUUAAAUACAGAGCAUACCGAUGCGUUAUUAAAAGGAUCAUCGAAAUUGUUUGAAGAGGAAGUCCCUAUCGAUGCGUCUAAUCCCUAUAUUAAUAAUGAUCGCAUCAAGACACUGUAUGAACCUGGGCAUCCCGUUCGUCUCGGUGAAACUGGGAAGUACUAUUGUAUGCGGCAAUUGGAUGGGCAUUGUUCUUGUUGUAACGGUUAUUGUGGACCAACCAAUGGAUGUAAUUGCUCCAGCUGUAUGAAGAAAGAUGUUAACGUGCGGAUACUUCCACGGGGAUGGUUGGUUAAUCGAGACGGCGCAUCAUGUCGAAAAGGAAUAACUGGAAAGUAUUAUUGUGGUCGCCGUGUUAUGACGGAUGACAGACGUACCGAUGGUUAUUGUGGACCAACCAAUGGUAAUAACUGUAGAGCUUGUCGUAUCAUAGAUAAAAAGAGCACAACAAGGUAUGCAAAUGUCUGGUCUUAGAAGAAACAUAGACAUUUUAAAAUAAAAUUGAUUUGACGUGAAUUAACUCAUUUUUUGGAAAACAAUUAAUAAUACAUGUAUGUUAUGUAUAAUUUAUGCAUGGAUGGUGCUUCAAUGGAAAAAAAUCAUUUUGAAAUCCAUUAAAAGUCUCUAUAAAUUAAGGUAUAAAAUGGUAUACGACAAAGUGUGUUAUUUCUUUAACCGCCCUUAUGAUCCAUCAACAACCUUUCUCUUUUGUGAUAAGGUUCUCUACGAUAUUUUUACAUAAAUAUGGUUAAAAUGCUCAUUUUAUACCAUUUGAUGUGUGUUUUGUUUAAAGAAUUGUGUGUAGAGAAACUGAACUUUGAAUACGUUACUUUAGUGUUAUACCACACUCGUUAUUGGUAUUUCAGUUAACAAUAACUCGUUAUAACAAUAACUCGUUAUAAGUAUAUACGCUAUGUCAGUAUCCUGACCGCGGACUCCCUCUGUCCGCUAGAGUGUUGUCUAUAGUUUGACUGUUGUAUAGGAUAAUCUGUUAGACAGUGGCGUGGCUAGAGAUGGCGAAGCCCGGGGGGUCCUUAAGAUGGCCACCCCCACGAAAACUAAAUAUAAUUCUGCUAAAAGGGCCUACAGUACAGGAGUAAAAAACAUUUUCAAUGAAGUAGACAGCCCCCAACACCACUCACUCUAGCCACGUUACUGCCGUUAAUAUUAUAUUAUAGAAGAUUUAUCGUUUGAAUUUUUAUAAAACUAUAAUCUCUGUUUUUUAUUGUUGAUUAUAAUUAUGUACGUGUAUACUGAAAAAUAGUGUAGACUGAUUUGAAUUUAAUUAGAAUGCUACGUGUUUGUAAUUUAA
Long non-coding RNA from Patella vulgata (common limpet), 1826 nucleotides. RefSeq lists it as uncharacterized. The record is from RefSeq and is a predicted model, not a curated record. The transcript has 2 exons. NCBI's taxonomy places the organism in Eukaryota, Metazoa, Mollusca, Gastropoda, Patellidae.